CCUACGGGAGGCAGCAGUGGGGCAUAUUGCACAAUGGGGGAAACCCUGAUGCAGCGACGCCGCGUGAGUGAAGAAGUAAUUCGUUAUGUAAAGCUCUAUCAGCAGGGAAGAAAAUGACGGUACCUGAGUAAGAAGCCCCGGCUAACUACGUGCCAGCAGCCGCGGUAAUACGGAGGGGGCAAGCGUUCUCCGGAUUUACUGGGUGGAAAGGGAGCGUAGACGGCAGUGCAAGUCUGGAGUGAAAGGCGGGGGCUCAACCCCCGGACUGCUCUGGAAACUGUACGGCUGGAGUGCAGGAGAGGUAAGUGGAAUUCCUAGUGUAGCGGUGAAAUGCGUAGAUAUUAGGAGGAACACCAGUGGCGAAGGCGGCUUACUGGACUGUAACUGACGUUGAGGCUCGAAAGCGUGGGGAGCAAACAGGAUUAGAUACCCCUGUAGUC
This 440-nucleotide ribosomal RNA is filed under the name uncultured bacterium. Its description in RNAcentral is "partial 16S ribosomal RNA". It matches the Rfam family "Bacterial small subunit ribosomal RNA", at positions 338 to 795 of the family's 1533-position model. The record is from RNAcentral.